GAGGGUAUAGCUCAGUGGUAAAGUCCAUGCUUACUAUGCAUAUGGUCCUGGGUUCAAUCCCCAGUACUUCUA
Molecule: transfer RNA, 72 nt
Filed under: Camelus bactrianus (Bactrian camel)
Lineage: Eukaryota; Metazoa; Chordata; Mammalia; Artiodactyla; Camelidae
Also listed under: 2 other names
Rfam family: tRNA
About the family: Transfer RNA (tRNA) molecules are approximately 80 nucleotides in length. Their secondary structure includes four short double-helical elements and three loops (D, anti-codon, and T loops). Further hydrogen bonds mediate the characteristic L-shaped molecular structure. tRNAs have two regions of fundamental functional importance: the anti-codon, which is responsible for specific mRNA codon recognition, and the 3' end, to which the tRNAs corresponding amino acid is attached (by aminoacyl-tRNA synthetases). tRNAs cope with the degeneracy of the genetic code in two manners: having more than one tRNA (with a specific anti-codon) for a particular amino acid; and 'wobble' base-pairing, i.e. permitting non-standard base-pairing at the 3rd anti-codon position.
Source: Rfam by way of RNAcentral